This 253-nucleotide ribosomal RNA is filed under the name uncultured bacterium. RNAcentral describes it as "partial 16S ribosomal RNA". It matches the Rfam family "Bacterial small subunit ribosomal RNA", at positions 524 to 776 of the family's 1533-position model. The record is from RNAcentral.
UACGGAGGGUGCAAGCGUUAUCCGGAUUCACUGGGUUUAAAGGGUGCGUAGGUGGCUUUGUAAGUCAGUGGUGAAAUCUUAGAGCUUAACUCUAAAACUGCCAUUGAUACUGCUUAGCUUGAAUCAAGUAGAGGUGGAUGGAAUAUUACAUGUAGCGGUGAAAUGCUUAGAUAUGUAAUAGAACACCGAUUGCGAAGGCAGUUCACUAUGCUUGUAUUGACACUGAGGCACGAAAGCGUGGGGAGCGAACAGG